CAAUUUUUUUUGGGGGGGUUUUCCCCCGACGUCCACAUCUACCGGUGGGUCACAUCCCCGUUUUGUCACUUUUUGUCCCUUUUUGUCAUUUUUUGUCCCUUUUUGUCCCUUUUUGUUACUUUUUGUCACUUUUUGUCAUUUUUUGUCACUUUUGGUCACUUUUCUCCCCAAACUCAAUUUAUUUUUGGGGUUUUUUUCCCCAACGUUCACAUCUACCGGUGGGUGACAUCCCCGUUUUGUCCCUUUUUCUCCCUUUUUCUCCCUUUUUCUCCCUUUUUCUCCCUUUUUCUCCCUUUUUAUCACUUUUUUCCCCCAAACUCACCUUUUUUUUGUUUUUUUUUCCCCCAGAUUGAUCAGCGAGCGCACGGUGGAGGAGAACAUCCUAAAAAAAGCCAACCAGAAGAGGAUGCUCGGGGACAUGGCCAUCGAGGGGGGCAACUUCACCACCGCCUACUUCAAGCAGCAAACCAUCCGGGAGCUCUUCGACAUGGCGCCCGAGCGGGACGGGGACACCAAGGAGAGGGACAAGGACAAGGACAAGGACAAGGACAAGGACAAGGACAAGGACAAGGACAAGGACAGGGACAGGGACAGGGACAGGGACAGGGACAGGGAUGGGCCGCAGGAGGAGGACGAGGACCCCGCGGCCACCCGGCGAACGCACAUCCUGGAGCAGGUCAGAUGCGUGUCCCCAGUGUGUCCCCAACGCGUCCCCAAAGUGUCCCCAACGCGUCCCCAACGUGUCCCCAACGUGUCCCCAAUAUGUCCCCAAUGUGUCCCCAACGUGUCCCCAAUGUGUCCCCAACGUGUCCCCAACGUGUCCCCAACCUGUCCCCAAAGUGUCCCCAACGUGUCCCCAACGCGUCCCCAAUGUGUCCCCAACAAUGUCCCCAAUGACGUUCCCAAUGAUGUCCCCAACGUGUCCCCAAUGACAAUCCCAAAAAUAUCCCCAAGAUGUCCCCAGCCAUAUCCCCAGUGAUGUCCCCAAGAUGUCCCCAACCAUGUCCCCAACGUGUCCCUGAUGACAUUCCCAACAAUAUUCCCAACCAUGUCCCCAAGAUGUCCCCAAGAUGUCCCCAAUGACGUCCCCAAUGACAUUCCCAACCAUAUCCCCAACAAUAUCCCCAACCAUGUCCCCAACGAUGUCCCCAAGAUGUCCCCAACGAUGUCCCCAACGUCUCUUCAACGUGUCCCCAGCCAUGUCCCCAAUGAUGUUCCCAAUAGUAUCUCCAAUGAUGUCCCCAAAAUGCCCCCAUUGUGUCCCCAAGAUGUCCCCAACCAUGUCCCCAAUGAUGUCCCCAACACUUCCCCAAGAUGUCCCCAUUAUGUCCCCAACGCGUCCCCAACGUGUCCCUGAUGACAUUCCUAACAAUAUUCCCAACGAUGUCCCCAAACAUGUCCCCAAUGACAUUCCCAAAAAUACCCCAUAAUGUCCCCAACCAUAUCGCCAACAAUGUCCCCAACGUGUCCCCAAUGACGUUCCCAACCGUGUCCCCAACGUGUCCUCGAUGACAUUCCUAACAAUAUUCCCAACCAUGUCCCCAAGAUGUCCCCAAGAUGUCCCCAAUGACAUUCUCAACCAUGUUCCCAACAAUAUUCCCAACGAUGUCCCCAACCAUGUCCCCAACGAUGUCCCCAAUGACAAUCCCAACCAUAUCCCCAACAAUGUCCCCAACAACGUCCCCAACGAUGUCUUCGUGUCCCCAACGAUGACCCCAACGUCUCCCCAACGUGUCCCCAACCAUGUCCCCAGUGACCUUCCCAACAG
Molecule: long non-coding RNA, 1768 nt
Filed under: Anas platyrhynchos platyrhynchos (common mallard)
Lineage: Eukaryota; Metazoa; Chordata; Aves; Anseriformes; Anatidae
Description: lncRNA (ENSAPLG00000018520.1)
Source: RNAcentral